AUAGCGCCUUGACCGGAAGGAGUAGGCGCGCGCGAUGCCAACAGAGACAGGGGCCAAUGAGCUGCAAGCCCCGACGGCCAUCGAGCGCCGAAGUCGUCCGGGUCGGCUGCCGAAGAACGGGCUUAGCCUUAUUAGAUCGGCACGGGUGCGCCCGUUAACGCGCCGCCCCAAUGACUGUUGGGGCAAUGAGCGCGCCGGAACUCCGGCGAACUGAGGUGGUACCACGGAAGCACAGCCCUUUCGUCCUCUAG
This 251-nucleotide non-coding RNA is filed under the name Promineifilum breve (SeqCode). Lineage: Bacteria; Bacillati; Chloroflexota; Ardenticatenia; Promineifilales (SeqCode); Promineifilaceae (SeqCode). The record is from RNAcentral.